GCUUUGGUGGGGUAGUGGUAACCUGGGUCGUUGCCAUGUGUGUCUCGUAUAACUUUGUUUCGACCCGCCGGGGGUUCGAUUCCCUCCCAAAGCA
This is a non-coding RNA of Roridomyces roridus, 94 nucleotides long. NCBI's taxonomy places the organism in Eukaryota, Fungi, Basidiomycota, Agaricomycetes, Agaricales, Mycenaceae. The record is from the annotation of a GenBank genome assembly.